Molecule: ribosomal RNA, 468 nt
Filed under: uncultured bacterium
Lineage: Bacteria
Description: partial 16S ribosomal RNA
Rfam family: Bacterial small subunit ribosomal RNA
Source: RNAcentral
GACGAACGCUGGCGGCGUGCUUAACACAUGCAAGUCGAACGGAAAGGCCCUGCUUUUGUGGGGUGCUCGAGUGGCGAACGGGUGAGUAACACGUGAGUAACCUGCCCUUGACUUUGGGAUAACUUCAGGAAACUGGGGCUAAUACCGGAUAGGAGCUCCUGCUGCAUGGUGGGGGUUGGAAAGUUUCGGCGGUUGGGGAUGGACUCGCGGCUUAUCAGCUGGUUGGUGGGGUAGUGGCUUACCAAGGCUUUGACGGGUAGCCGGCCUGAGAGGGUGACCGGCGACAUUGGGACUGAGAUACGGCCCAGACUCCUACGGGAGGCAGCAGUGGGGAAUAUUGCACAAUGGGCGGAAGCCUAAUGCAGCAACGCCGCGUGCGGGAUGACGGCCUUCGGGUGGUAAACCGCUUUCGGCUGUGACGAAGCGUGAGUGACGGUAAUGGGUAAAGAAGCACCGGCUAACUACGUG